This 519-nucleotide ribosomal RNA is filed under the name uncultured bacterium. RNAcentral describes it as "bacterial SSU rRNA". It matches the Rfam family "Archaeal small subunit ribosomal RNA", at positions 345 to 866 of the family's 1478-position model. The record is from RNAcentral.
AACCUCCGCAAUGUGAGAAAUCGCGACGGGGGGAUCCCAAGUGCCAUUCUUAACGGGAUGGCUUUUCAUUAGUGUAAAGAGCUUUUGGAAUAAGGGCUGGGCAAGACCGGUGCCAGCCGCCGCGGUAACACCGGCAGCUCUAGUGGUAGCAGUUUUUAUUGGGCCUAAAGCGUCCGUAGCCGGUUUAAUAAGUCUCUGGUGAAAUCCUGUAGCUUAACUGUGGGAAUUGCUGGAGAUACUAUUAGACUUGAGACCGGGAGAGGUUAGAGGUACUCCCAGGGUAGAGGUGAAAUUCUGUAAUCCUGGGAGGACCGCCUGUUGCGAAGGCGUCUAACUGGAACGGUUCUGACGGUGAGGGACGAAAGUUAGGGCGCGAACCGGAUUAGAUACCCGGGUAGUCCUAACUGUAAACGAUGCGGACUUGGUGUUGGGGUGGCUUUGAGCUGCUCCAGUGCCGAAGGGAAGCUGUUAAGUCCGCCGCCUGGGAGUACGGUCGCAAGACUGAAACUUAAAGGAAUU